Molecule: ribosomal RNA, 466 nt
Filed under: uncultured bacterium
Lineage: Bacteria
Description: bacterial SSU rRNA
Rfam family: Bacterial small subunit ribosomal RNA
Source: RNAcentral
AAUCAACGCUGGCGGCGUGCCCUCAGACAUGCAAGUCGAACGAUUAAAGCUCUCUUCGGAGAGUGUAUAGAGUGGCGCACGGGUGAGUAACACGUAAGUAAUCUACCCUCGAGUGGGGAAUAACAACCGGAAACGGUUGCUAAUACCGCAUAAUGCAGCGGCACCGCAAGGUGACAGUUGUUAAAGAUUUAUCGCUUGAGGAGGAGCUUGCGGCAGAUUAGCUAGUUGGUAGGGUAACGGCUUACCAAGGCUACGAUCUGUAACCGGUCUAAGAGGACGGUCGGUCACACUGACACUGAAUAACGGGUCAGACUCCUACGGGAGGCAGCAGUCGGGAAUUUUGGGCAAUGGGCGAAAGCCUGACCCAGCAACGCCGCGUGAAGGAUGAAGUAUUUCGGUAUGUAAACUUCGAAAGAAUAGGAAGAAUUAAUGACGGUACUAUUUAUAAGGUCCGGCUAACUACGUG